Molecule: transfer RNA, 72 nt
Filed under: Marmota monax (woodchuck)
Lineage: Eukaryota; Metazoa; Chordata; Mammalia; Rodentia; Sciuridae
Rfam family: tRNA
About the family: Transfer RNA (tRNA) molecules are approximately 80 nucleotides in length. Their secondary structure includes four short double-helical elements and three loops (D, anti-codon, and T loops). Further hydrogen bonds mediate the characteristic L-shaped molecular structure. tRNAs have two regions of fundamental functional importance: the anti-codon, which is responsible for specific mRNA codon recognition, and the 3' end, to which the tRNAs corresponding amino acid is attached (by aminoacyl-tRNA synthetases). tRNAs cope with the degeneracy of the genetic code in two manners: having more than one tRNA (with a specific anti-codon) for a particular amino acid; and 'wobble' base-pairing, i.e. permitting non-standard base-pairing at the 3rd anti-codon position.
Source: Rfam by way of RNAcentral
UAGGGUGUGGCUCAGUGGUAGAGCGCUCACCUAGAACAUGCAAGGCCCUGGGUUUGAUCCUCAGCGCCUCAA